GACGGAGGAUGCAAGUGUUAUCCGGAAUUACUGGGCGUAAAGCGUCUGUAGGCGGUUUAAUAAGUCCACUGUUAAAUCUUGAGGCUCAACCUCAAAAUCGCAGUCGAAACUAUUAGGCUAGAGUAUAGUAGGGGUAAAGGGAAUUUCCAGUGGAGCGGUGAAAUGCGUAGAGAUUGGAAAGAACACCGAUGGCGAAGGCGCUUUACUGGGCUAUUACUAACGCUCAGAGACGAAAGCUAGGGUAGCAAAUGGG
RNAcentral lists this ribosomal RNA (253 nucleotides) under uncultured bacterium. Its description in RNAcentral is "partial 16S ribosomal RNA". It matches the Rfam family "Bacterial small subunit ribosomal RNA", at positions 524 to 776 of the family's 1533-position model. The record is from RNAcentral.